CUAAAGUAGUAAUAGUUAUGUUCUUGAAACUUAAAAAAUUUGGCGGUAUUUUAGUCUAUUCAGAGGAAUCUGUCCUGUAAUCGAUAAUCCACGGUGGACCUUAUUUAAAUUAGUAUUUCAGUUUGUAUACCGUCGUUAUAAGAAUAUUUUAUCAGAAUAAUAAUUUUCUAGAAUUUUUAUAAAAAUUUAUAUCAGAUCAAGGUGCAGCUUAUGUUUAAAUAGAGAUGGAUUACAUUAAAUUAAUUUAUAUGGAUUAGUUAUUGAAAUAAAACUAUGAAAGUGGAUUUGAAUGUAAAAUUAUAAAGAUUAAUAAUUUGAUUUUAGCU
RNAcentral lists this ribosomal RNA (326 nucleotides) under Sepsis flavimana. Its description in RNAcentral is "partial 12S ribosomal RNA". The record is from RNAcentral. Lineage: Eukaryota; Metazoa; Arthropoda; Insecta; Diptera; Sepsidae.